GACGAACGCUGGCGGCGUGCUUAACAUAUGCAAGUCGAACGGUGAACGAGGGAGCUUGCUCCCUCCGGAUCAGUGGCGAACGGGUGAGUAACACGUGAGCAAUCUGCCCCGAACUCUGGGAUAAGCGUUGGAAACGACGUCUAAUACCGGAUACGACGCGGGAGGGCAUCCUCUCCGCGUGGAAAGAACUUCGGUUCGGGAUGAGCUCGCGGCCUAUCAGCUUGUUGGUGAGGUAACGGCUCACCAAGGCGACGACGGGUAGCCGGCCUGAGAGGGUGACCGGCCACACUGGGACUGAGACACGGCCCAGACUCCUACGGGAGGCAGCAGUGGGGAAUAUUGCACAAUGGGCGCAAGCCUGAUGCAGCAACGCCGCGUGAGGGACGACGGCCUUCGGGUUGUAAACCUCUUUUAGCAGGGAAGAAGCGAAAGUGACGGUACCUGCAGAAAAAGCACCGGCUAACUACGUG
Molecule: ribosomal RNA, 470 nt
Filed under: uncultured bacterium
Lineage: Bacteria
Description: partial 16S ribosomal RNA
Rfam family: Bacterial small subunit ribosomal RNA
Source: RNAcentral